UACGUAGGUGGCAAGCGUUGUCCGGAAUUAUUGGGCGUAAAGCGCGCGCAGGCGGCCUCCUAAGUCCGAUGUGAAAGCCCACGGCUCAACCGUGGAGGGUCAUUGGAAACUGGGGGACUUGAGUGCAGGAGAGAAGAGUGGAAUUCCACGUGUAGCGGUGAAAUGCGCAGAUAUCAGGAGGAACACCAGUGGCGAAGGCGGCACUCUGGGCCGGUACUGACGCUGAGGAGCGAAAGCGUGGGGAGCGAACAGG
RNAcentral lists this ribosomal RNA (253 nucleotides) under uncultured bacterium. RNAcentral's name for it is "partial 16S ribosomal RNA". It matches the Rfam family "Bacterial small subunit ribosomal RNA", at positions 524 to 776 of the family's 1533-position model. The record is from RNAcentral.